GGAAACCAGGCCAAUCGGAAUCCUCCCAGGGUUUCUCUGGAGCUCUGGAGAAAGAGGCCGUCCUGUGUGCUCAGGAACAGCCAGUGAUGCGCAGGCCUCAGGGCUGUGGGACUGGCUUCAGCGAUCUAGAAACCGAGGCCCCAGGAGAAGUGACCUGACACAGGGCAGCAAUGGCACCCCCUGCAGUGAGCUGUCCACCUUAGGAGUUGCCCGGAGUCCCCCUGCCUUGGACAGCCUCCCACCCAUCCCCAAGGUUAAGCCUGCUCCGGGCCCCUGCCAUUCUCUGGACCUCCUCAUCAUACGCCCACCCGCUGCUGGAAUCCCGCCGUAGCGCCAUCUUCCCCAGGGGCUCUCGGCUCACGCCUGCCGCUCUCAGCACAGUGCCCACGGAUAAAGGCGCCAAUGCGUGUUUGGUUCUCGCUGAUCUUGUCCCUUUCUUUUACCUGGUGGCGCAAGUUACAUGGUCCCUAGUGUUCCCACCUUGCCUUGCCCCUGAACGGGGCUGGAGGAAUGGCUCUCCCCCCUUCAGACAGGCAGCAAGAAGUCAGCCGUGUUUCUACGAGAGCCAGGCUGCAAGACGUGUUCCGCCUAAAGAUCGUGCCCACUCUCUCGCUGCCCCUCCCCGCCCAGCCACGCUGCGGGCCCCAAGCCCGCCAGGAACGCCGCCGCCAAGAAGAAAACAAGCAAGGG
RNAcentral lists this long non-coding RNA (690 nucleotides) under Microcebus murinus (gray mouse lemur). Its description in RNAcentral is "lncRNA (ENSMICG00000048484.1)". Lineage: Eukaryota; Metazoa; Chordata; Mammalia; Primates; Cheirogaleidae. The record is from RNAcentral.